This 654-nucleotide ribosomal RNA is filed under the name uncultured bacterium. Its description in RNAcentral is "SSU rRNA". It matches the Rfam family "Bacterial small subunit ribosomal RNA", at positions 245 to 915 of the family's 1533-position model. The record is from RNAcentral.
CUAGUUGGUGGGGUAAGAGCUCACCAAGGCGACGAUCGGUAGCUGGUCUGAGAGGACGAUCAGCCACACUGGGAUUGAGAACGGCCCAGACUCCUACGGGGGGCAGCAGUGAGGAAUUUUCCGCAAUGGUCGCAAGACUGACGGAGCAACGCCGCGUGCAGGAGGACGCUUUUCGGAGUGUAAACUGCUUUUCUGUGGGAAGAGCAAGGACGGUACCACAGGAAGAAGCCCCGGCUAACUACGUGCCAGCAGCCGCGGUAAUACGUAGGGGGCGAGCGUUAUCCGGAGUUACUGGGCGUAAAGGGCACGCAGGCGGUGCGGCGCGUUUCGCGUGACAGCGGAGGGCUUACCUCUCCGAGGAUGCGAAAGACGGCCGCACUUGAGGGCCAGAGAGGGACACGGAAUUCCGGGUGGAGUGGUGAAAUGCGUAGAGAUCCGGAGGAACACCGAAGGCGAAGGCAGUGUCCUGGCUGGUGACUGACGCUGAGGUGCGAAAGCUAGGGGAGCGAACGGGAUUAGAUACCCCGGUAGUCCUAGCCGUAAACGAUGACCACCAGGUGUGGGAGGUAUCGACCCCUUCCGUGCCGGAGUUAACACACUAAGUGGUCCGCCUGGGGAGUACGGUCGCAAGAUUAAAACUCAAAGGAAUUGACG